This 420-nucleotide unclassified non-coding RNA is filed under the name Mitracarpus eitenii. RNAcentral's name for it is "partial external transcribed spacer". The record is from RNAcentral. Lineage: Eukaryota; Viridiplantae; Streptophyta; Magnoliopsida; Gentianales; Rubiaceae.
GCAGGAUCAACCAGGUAGCAUUCCUCACGGACAUCGGCCCGCACGGCUCGGGGCCGGAACGGAACCGAAGUCGUUCGAAAUUGGCUUUAAAGCCUUUUUGUGGACAAAUAGAAGCCGACGACUCCGUGCCCUCAUCGUUUUCUGCAUCCCAGCGCCCGAACGAGAAUUCAUGGACCACGAAACCGACACAAAACGUGUAGAACGUGGGACACGAAUCCCGUUUCGAGUUUCACCCGCAGCCGCACCGAGUAAACGGGCAGCCUAAGGCGAACAGCUAGAGAUUGACAACCGAAUUCCAUCACGUAGGUACGAAACACAGGAAACCAAGGAACGGCCAAUGUAAAAUUGUGCCAACAAUGAAGAGGAUAGCACGGUAGGACGUCGCCGCUCAAGGCAGGGAUCCAACCAAACCGUGCUAAC